Molecule: long non-coding RNA, 1341 nt
Filed under: Homo sapiens (human)
Lineage: Eukaryota; Metazoa; Chordata; Mammalia; Primates; Hominidae
Description: HSALNT0093020
Source: RNAcentral
UUAGUUUUACCUUUGUAAAUUUUACAAAAACAUAUGAACAUGUGAAUAUCUUGCUAGUGCCCUUUCUGGAAAUUUUGAUGCUCCUGUGUAAGUGAGGGGCCUUGAAAUUAAGCUUCAUUAGCCUUAUGGUAAAUCCAGCUCUGGCCACUAAUUCACCAAAAUGUUUCCAGGUGCAGGUUGCCAAUUCCAGUGGUCACAUCUUGGUCCUCCUUUUACUCCAACUCUAUCAGCAUUGGGUUAUGACCUUCUUAUGGAAACACCUUUUCUGUUGAUUUCCACAGCUUCUUCCUAUUCUCCUGGGUUUUUCCUAUUUCAUAGGCUGUUCCUUCUCUGUCUACUCUGUGUGCCUCAGGGCUCAGUAUUUGGGCCAAGAGAGAGUGAGCAUUUGCACUCACUCUCUCAUGAUCUCAUCUAGCCCUAUUAUUGUACCUAUUGGUUAUAAAAAUAUACCUUUCAAAUUUAUACCUCUGUCCUGGACGUCUCCCAAGGCUUGAGACGUGUAAUUUAUCUGCCCACUCACUACCCCACUUGGAUGUCUAAUGGGAAUCUCAAAGUAAUUGUGUUCAAAAUGAAACCCAAUUCCAAAAUUAUCUUCCCAUUUUAGCAAAUGCUUCCAUUCAGUAGGUCAGUCUACAGCCUAGGACUCACCUCUUGAUUUCUCUUUGCCUCUCAUGUCACAUAGGUCCAUGAACAAGUGCAUCAGUACUACCUUCAGAAAGUCUGAGUCCGACCAUUUCCCCACUUUCCAACACAGCUGCUCUCAUUCUAGACCAUCACUAUUUCUUGCCUGAACUCUUGUAAUGGCUUCCAUUCUGGUUCCGUGCUUCUACCCUUGUCCCAUUAUAACUUUUCUUCAUCCUCUGCUCAGAAUCUUCCAGUGCUUCCAGUCACAUUUAGAACAUAAUUCAAAGUCUUAUCAGGACUUGGAAGGCUGCCAUACUGCGGUCCCCAGGCCAGCAGGAUCAGUAUCACUUGGGAACUUGUUAGAAAUGCAAAUUCGCAGGCCCCACCUAUUGAGGCAGAAACUCUAGGGGUAGCCAGCAAAAUGAGUUUUCACACACAGGGUAUGCUAGUGAGACUGAGACCGGCUAAAAUUUGAGAAACACAGUCCUAUUACCUGUCCCAUAGCUGGUUCUCUGACCUCCUCUCCUACCAGUCUUCCUCACUCAUGGAUAUCCUGACUCACUGGCCUGGCUGUUCCUGGAACAAGUCAGAUGAACUCCUCAGAGCUUUUGCACUUACGGUGCCUCAGCCUAAACUCUUCCCUCAGCCCUGUGGAUGGCUGACUCCUUUGCUUCAGAUAAACUGCCUGGAAGAUGGUCUCAGUCUGUUGCCCAGGCU